UGCAUCUGUCCGGCUUUUGCGCGCAACUGAGGAGCUCUGAGAUCUUUCUACAUCUUUUCAGACAUUUCAUGGACUUCAUUGAUCAGACUUUAGCCCUGGUAAAACACCCCAACGCCUAACUCUCCCUUAAUCCUUGCAGAGCACCCCUGUCGCAGCUCAGGGCACCGCUCUUGCCGCCGAUGGCUCUGGAGGAGAAGCGGCAGCCCAGCUCCCAGCUCUCCAGAUGGGGAUGAGCUGAGCAGCAAGUUAUUUGAGAACCUCUCUGACCUGCCGUGGCACAGAGAAGACGCUGACCCAGGCCUGGGAAGGGUGCUUUCUUUUCCGCAGAGGCGGCUCGCAGCGUGCAGCCCUUCCCAAACCCUGCUGUCCCCCGGGCAGGGGGCUUCUGCAAUGAUGGAAAGAGCACGGCAGGACCACACUUGCCAGGAGGCUGUGGGAGUCCUACCCUGAGCUGAGCGGGGACGGGCACAGCAGCCUGCGGGACGCGCAGAGCUACCGUGAGCAGGCCGAGCUUCUUUCUAGCUUCACCUUUCUCCUGGCACCAGCAAAACCACAUCCAGGAAUCAGGAAGGGGAUUUGGGACGCUGCUUCUCCGCGCAAGGCUGACCGGCUCCGAUAUUACCGUGGCUGUAUCGGCAAGACCCCAAUAAUGGAAAAAAACUGCGUGAGCAGUCAAAGAUGUGUGAAGCUGCCACCAAGAUAGUUAGGAUAAACUGUAAUUAACCACAUUUAAGCUUAAUUGCAUUAAGGGGGAGGGGGAAGUGAAAGCUGAAAGCAGAUUAUGGAUCUGGCUUAUAAUUCAAUUUGUGCAACAGCUAGGAAAGAAGGGACCGCAUUCUCCAGCAGCGUGUUAGCAACGCAGGAGGCGUGGAGCUACUAGGACUCUAGAGACGAUCGGUGAGCAGAAAGA
Molecule: long non-coding RNA, 910 nt
Organism: Gymnogyps californianus (California condor)
Lineage: Eukaryota; Metazoa; Chordata; Aves; Accipitriformes; Cathartidae
Exons: 4
Source: RefSeq, a predicted model, not a curated record